GACGAACGCUGGCGGCGUGCUUAACACAUGCAAGUCGAACGGAAAGGCCCUGCUUUUGUGGGGUGCUCGAGUGGCGAACGGGUGAGUAAAAGGUGAGUAACCUGCCCUUGACUUUGGGAUAACUUCGGGAAACUGGGGCUAAUACCGGAUAGGAGCUCCUGCGGCAUGGUGGGGGUGGGAAAGUUUCGGCGGUUGGGGAUGGACUCGCGGCUUAUCAGCUUGUUGGUGGGGUAGUGGCUUACCAAGGCUUUGACGGGUAGCCGGCCUGAGAGGGUGACCGGCCACAUUGGGACUGAGAUACGGCCCAGACUCCUACGGGAGGCAGCAGUGGGGAAUAUUGCACAAUGGGCGGAAGCCUGAUGCAGCAACGCCGCGUGCGGGAUGACGGCCUUCGGGUUGUAAACCGCUUUCGCCUGUGACGAAGCGUGAGUGACGGUAAUGGGUAAAGAAGCACCGGCUAACUACGUG
Molecule: ribosomal RNA, 468 nt
Filed under: uncultured bacterium
Lineage: Bacteria
Description: partial 16S ribosomal RNA
Rfam family: Bacterial small subunit ribosomal RNA
Source: RNAcentral